RNAcentral lists this ribosomal RNA (253 nucleotides) under uncultured bacterium. RNAcentral describes it as "partial 16S ribosomal RNA". It matches the Rfam family "Bacterial small subunit ribosomal RNA", at positions 524 to 776 of the family's 1533-position model. The record is from RNAcentral.
UACAGAGGGUGCAAGCGUUGUUCGGAAUUACUGGGCGUAAAGCGCGCGUAGGUGGCUAAGCAAGUCUUGUGUGAAAGCCUCAGGCUCAACCUGAGAGGGUCAUGAGAAACUACUUAGCUGGAGGAUGGGAGAGGAGAGUGGAAUUCCCGGUGUAGAGGUGAAAUUCGUAGAUAUCGGGAGGAACACCAGAGGCGAAGGCGGCUCUCUGGCCCAUUUCUGACACUCUGGCGCGAAAGCGUGGGUAGCAAACAGG